This is a long non-coding RNA of Ictalurus punctatus (channel catfish), 718 nucleotides long. Lineage: Eukaryota; Metazoa; Chordata; Actinopteri; Siluriformes; Ictaluridae. The record is from Ensembl.
CUGUGCUGAACUUCAGAUUAACGUCACCACAGUCAGUGGGUCGAAGUUUGGAGAAUUCCAGUGCGGGUUUUUCUCUCGUCUCCACACAGAGUUGUGACUUUCAGAUGCACGUGACGUCGUGUUCGAACGUUAAUGAAAUGCAGAAACAGAUCCAUCAGCUGUUGGAGCGGCGGUAUGAUAACGGCACCGUGAGCCUGGAUGCUGCUCCAGAACACAUCCACAUCACACACAUACACCCCGGUCAGUGUCCUCACCAGCCACAGCAGACUCGUCGGGGUCUGUACAUUUGGAUCAGAACUUCGGCUCAACGCGUAAACACACAGCAGUGUGAAGGAGAUCUGACUCACAAAGCAACACGCCAGUGGUACCACACACACACAUACACACACACACACACACACUCUCACACACACACUUAUAAUAUUCCCAUAUUAGUUUGGGUCACGGGUUGAUGUUCUGCAUGUAAAAUGAAAGUUAAAGUGUGUGUGUGUGUGUGUGUGUGUGUGUGUGUGUGUGUGUGUGUGUGUGUGUUUCACUCCUGAGUAAACACAGUGUGAGUGUUACAGAUGUGUAUGUUUGCCAUCUGACAUCUAAUGACCCAUUAAUAAGGUGAACAGGCUGUUCAAACACACACACACACACACACACACACACACACACACACACACACAUUUAAUGACUGUCCCAUAACGUACAGUGAGAUGUGUCCGUAUCUGAG